Molecule: ribosomal RNA, 402 nt
Filed under: uncultured bacterium
Lineage: Bacteria
Description: bacterial SSU rRNA
Rfam family: Bacterial small subunit ribosomal RNA
Source: RNAcentral
UGGGGAAUCUUGGACAAUGGGGGCAACCCUGAUCCAGCGAUGCCGCGUGAGCGAAGAAGGCCUUAGGGUUGUAAAGCUCUUUCGCCCGCGACGAUGAUGACGGUAGCGGGAGAAGAAGCCCCGGCUAACUACGUGCCAGCAGCCGCGGUAAUACGUAGGGGGCAAGCGUUGUCCGGAUUUACUGGGUGUAAAGGGCGCGCAGGCGGGAUAAAAAGUCAGUGGUGAAAUCCUACAGCUUAACUGUAGAACUGCCUUUGAUACUUUUAUUCUUGAGUUCGGGAGAGAGAGACGGAAUUCCAGGUGUAGUGGUGAAAUACGUAGAUAUCUGGAAGAACACCAGUUGCGAAGGCGGUCUCUUGGUCCGACACUGACGCUGAGGCGCGAAAGCGUGGGGAGCAAACA